Molecule: small RNA, 29 nt
Filed under: Bombyx mori (domestic silkworm)
Lineage: Eukaryota; Metazoa; Arthropoda; Insecta; Lepidoptera; Bombycidae
Description: piRNA piR-bmo-1599578
Source: RNAcentral
UUUAUGUGUGUGCGGGCCGCGUGAGCGAA